UCAUGUUCCACUGUAUUAUAAGUGUUGUCUUUGCCGAAAUAGCUCCAUGAGAGUUUCACGUACAUCUUUUUCUUUAUUUUCUUGUUUCUUUAUUUUGUAAGUUUUUGUAAUUUUGUAAAGAACUUAUGAUAUUCAGAAAAGGGUUUUAAUAUUUUGAAAAAUCUAUGUAAAUAAAAAUUUGUGAAGUUGAUGUUAACCUAUUUUAUUAUAUGUCCUGCUAUAUCAAUAGAUUAUUCAUUUUGUUCUUCUGUUUUUUUGUAUUAGUAGAAAAUGCUAUUAUAAUAGUAUUAGAGAUUAAAUAAACCAAGUGAACUUCAAAUAUGAAGAAAAACAACAGAUAAGAUGUGAUGGGCUGCAAAUAAUGUUUUGAUGUUUUGUACAUUUUUAAAUAGUUUAAGUUUUAUAAUAUAGAUGAUAUUAUUUUGAUUAUCUGCUUAAAAUAUAGUAAAAUUAGUAGUUAAGGGCAACAUAUUUCUAGUUCGCUUUAGGCGCCUGAGGAAUCCGGACCGGCACUGACCACGAGUAACGCAAACCAACAGAAAAAAAAACAGUUAAAAGCCUAAAGUAAAUAUAAAUACAUAUAGAUGAAUAUUGCUUUGGGUCGUUCAGUUUGGUUCGGUUCAUUUUUUUGUCCACCCUCAGGCCUUAGUUAUAAGAGCAUAAUAAGCCUUGUCUGAUCCGGUUUAAUUUAAGCCUGGUUCGAAUCCGGUUGAGCCGUGCGCCAGUUACAAGGUUCGGUUAACAUUGUAGCAAGGAGUAUAUAUUACUUUAACAAAUCAGAUCAAUUACUUGUGAUAUACAAUAAAAUAAAAUGAAUAGAAUUUUAUAACAACAAAGACGUCCUUCAAUUCUUCACUCUCUAUGCAGCAAAGCACUCUUUAGGAAGACCUUGAGGGAAUCUCUUCGUAUCCGUGCAAUAGUUGUAGAUCAUGUAGUUCUUCUGCACCCAUCUCAUCCUUUCUUGAGCCGUAGAGUCAAGCUCCUGCGACAGCCACGAGCCAGUGGUCCCCUGUCCCGAGCCAUUAGGACAAGACGACUUGCCGUUUGACCAAACACAAGCUUCUUGGUUAAAGCCACGGUAGGAAGCAGUGAAAGGAGCUUUAGACCAAUCGGUUUUGACCAAACCACCUCUCGUGGCCCAAUCAUCAGCGUUCCAAAGACUGGAAUACAUUCUCAUUGGUUGGUUCUUAGGAAAUAGAGUACCAACAGAUUCCAUGUUUUUGAAUUCUCUAAUGGGAGUUCCAUCGACUGUGAAAAUGAUUCGUUGUGGGUUCCAGAGAAUGGUGUAAGUGUGGAAAUCAGCUGUUGGGUCGAACCAGAGUUUGAACUGCUGUUCUUUGUCUCCUUUGCCUUGUGUGUAUACAUUUGUGUGAAGUGUGUAAGGAUCUCCACUUAGGUUCCCUAAGAACUCGAAGUCAAUCUCGUCCCAUGUGGUUCCUGGUGAUUUCAACUGUAACGAAAAACUAAUUUUAGUAACAAGAACUUCAAAAUGUAACAAAAGAAAAAUAAACGUGGUUAUGUAACUUACGUAGAGUGUUGUGACUGUUCCUGCGGAGUUACCAGGGACGAGUUUCAUCUGCAUGUCGAUUUUACCGAACAAGUACUCGUUCUUGGACUGGAAACCAGAGCCAGAUGAUUUGUCUAGAGACAAAGUGAGAAGCUCUCCAUUGUUUGUGAUCUGUCCACGUCCAUCUCCCCAUGUGAUCUCAACGUCUCUUUGGAAAUUAGCUGAAACAGAGGAGAUGACUAUAAGAGAAAUAAACAGAGGAAGGAAGUAACUGUGUGCCAUUUUGAGAGAUUUAUCUAUGUUUCUUGUGUUCUUGUGACUUGUGUUGCGUUUGUUUUGUGGUUUUGAGGGUUUAUGGAAUAGUCUAUUUAUACUAGUAGUAGUAAUAGUAGACUAAUACUCCAGCAAAGGUUUAAUAAGAGGAAGGUUCGUAUGGUGAAAGAGGUAGCCGCGGUCUGUGAGGCAACAGCUGGAGAUUGGGCCAUCUUUGUAGUAAAAGCUGUAUUCAAUUGGCUUUGGAGUUCACGCGGUUUUUUAAAUAACGUUUUUAAUUAAAAACAUGUUUAAUAUUAUUUGUUUUUGCUUUCAAAUUAAAUUGGAUCUUUACAAUCAAAAAGCUGCAUUUGGGAGUUGGAUACUUUUUUUUUUACCACCGGCUUAGACCGACAUUGACAGAGAAAAAGGUUUUCUCUAAUAGAACCAAGAGAUUCUGUUAUAACAAAAGAUAGAAAGUAAAAAGAUGUUUAAGAAAAUUAAUUAGAAUAUGAUAAUCUAUGAGUUUUAUUUUUUCUAUAGUUCAGUUAUCUUGGUUCUGUUAUUCUUAUUCCUGACUAUUAUUAUGAUAUAUGCAAAUUUAAAAUUAAGUUAAGGUGAGAGUAUUUAUUCCCAUCGCCACAUAACAAAUGUAGAGUGGUUAAGAAAAGAGGAUAAGGAUCCAUAUUGUAUUUGUUUUCUAAAUAAAUUGAUCGAUUCAAAUUUAAAGCAGUGGGGACAAGAGAGAUUGCCACGUUGAAGGAAUAAGAUAGUUGUUGGGUAAAUCAUCACUAUGACUGACUCAAAUAUUUUGAUUUUGUGGUGGAGACAGCUAAGACACUCAAGUUGAUGGCGGUCGUGGUCCCGAAGUUUCGUAAUACAAAUUGCUAGAUCCUCAGCGCAGUCCGAACUCUUGCGCAAACUCUAGAAAUCUAAAUUCGAUCAAAACCGUGUGCAGAAUACACGAAAAGAACGUGUGAUGGUCGUAGGUCCAGAAGUUUCUUAGUCAUAAUUUUUCAGAUGUAUAUGAUAUAACUCAUUUUCUUAUUUUCGGUUUAGAAUUCUUCAUUUAUUGUAAAUAAAUUGAAAUUUACAUGUAUGAUUUUUCAAAUGAUUAAAAUUCCUUGUAACAUCAUAUACUUUUACUUGUUUCACUUUUAGUGGGCUUAAAUUAAGGACGCGGAGUUACCCGUUUGGUUUGCAGAGUAUAUAUGAAUCUAUUUUAAAUUGCUGACAAAAAAAUCAAAAAAGCAUGUUUAAAAUAAUAGUGCCUAUUUAAACCAAGACUUUUUCUGAAGAUUAACCUUUGAGAUUCUGAAGAUUAACCUUGCACUCAAAGGUUAGUCUUGAUUCUCUAGACUCUAGUUGACUUGCUCUCAAAUGUUUUAUUUAAGUCUUCGACUCUCUUAUUGGUAUGCGAAUGUUUGGGUUCACAUAUUGUUUGCUAGAUGCUAGAGCUUUGCUUGAGCUUCCUAUUAAAAUGGUAGACUCAAUACUAGACAUGGAUAUUUCUUUCCCACUUAUGGUUGGACAGUUUUGUUAUCUACUAUUACAGAUUCAGAAACUGAAAAUGAAUUGGUCAUUGUCUUUGACAGGUUUCCAUUUAAAGACAGAACAUAAACCCCAACCGUUGUAAACGCACGGAUAAUGAUGGAAAAUCUUUGAAUCUCCCGUGGAAAUUAUGCUCUCACUCACUCAGAGCUGUCAAUUCUAAUGGUAAAGAAUUAUGUUCCCAUGGUAGAUAUGUCAAGCUCUUUGAUAAAAAAAAGAUAUGUCGAUUGUCAAGUUCAAAUCAAAUCAAUAAUGAAAAAUGGAUUUAACAAUCGGUUCUCAUCUCUAAUCCAAAAAAAUUAUGGGUUUUGAUCCGAAAUUUCUUACAAUAAAAAAACACUAUGCUUUCAGCUAGACAUUUUAAAUGUGUCGAACCAAGAACUUUCGUUAUUGUCCUUCCAUAUGUUGCUCUAUUUUCUCACAAGACAAACACACCAUAAUUGAUAUUUUCUUAUUGUCUAACAUAACUAUAAUAUUUAAUCACCAUGAUUAUAAAAUAAAAUAUACUAGUGAAAAAAUAUUCAACAAAAUGUAAUUACCCUUUUAGCAAAAAAAAAAACAAAAUGUAAUUACCGUUUAUUUAUUAAUCGAGAAUCAUAAUAACAUAUGAAUGAUGUCAUGUGUCAUUACUACGAUAAUUCUUAAAAUAAUUAGAGAAAUAAGUUAGUCCAUCUAAAUAUAUUAAAUUUUUUCAUUAAAAAUAAACAUAAAUUAAUUAGUAAUUUACACAAAAAAACUAUUAAUUUCUUAAAUAAAAGGUACAAAAUUAUUUAAUAUGAUUAAAUAUAUAUGAAAUUAGUGAUUCUGAAUAAUAAAAAAUUGAUAACAAUUUGUGUGUAAUCUAUCAAUUUCGUUUAAUUUAGUUAUAAAAAUUAAACUUUGUUGUAUAUGUUAUACUUUGGAUUUUUUUUUUAAAUUACUUAAAUUAAUAAAACUGUUAAUAGUCUUACAUUAAAAUUUUUGUGCUCAAUGGUUUUAAUAUUUUGCUAUAACAAGAUACAAAUGAUCAUAAAACAAUUUGGGUAAUAAAUUUGAUUUAAUAGAUAUUCAAAUUGAAAAUAUGUAUCUAUUUUAGUAUAGUUUAAAUUAAUAUAUAUACCAUAUAAAAUAAAUUAUUAUUAUUAUUAUUAUUAUUUUCAUUAUUAUUAUUUCAAAAAAUUUAAAAUAUGUAUCAUAUUUGAAUUUAUAAAAAUUAGAAAAUUUUAUAAUUUAAUUUAAUUUAAUCAAAUCAUUAAUAUAUAUUUUACAUAUCUUUUGUUAUUAUUUUAAAGUAAUAAUAAAAAUUAUCUACUUAACAAAUAUUUUAUUAAAUAUCUUACUCCUUGAGAAGUGCAUAUUAUCUGUUCUAUAAAAACUGAAGUACAAAACAUAACUUGCCUAAUUUUUAAUGAAUUUUUAAAUCUUUUUCAUUUCUUUUUAAACUAAUUUUAACCACUUUAUUUAUUGUCUUUUCUAAAUAAUUUGACAACAUUUAUUACAUAAAUUUAAAAUAGAAUAUGUCUAUUUUAAGUGUUUUACAUUCAAUUUUUAACUCUUCAUAACUACUUCAUUAAUUAUUUUUAUAAUGAUAAUUCAAGAUCAUUUAUUUUAUGUGUCAACCAUAAUAAUUAUACAGAUUUGAAUACAAUUGCUCCAUUCGUCGCAAGAAUUCAAUCUGGUUAAGAAAUAAUUUUUAUUUGUUUACAUAUAUGCAUGAGUAUUUACUACUCCUUCCGUUUCUGAAUAAGUGUCAUUUUGACAUUUUUCACACAUAUUAAGAAAAUGACAGAAAUAUAUGUAAGUUAUUAUUAAUUAUACUUUCUGACCAAUAGUAUUUGAGAUAAAUAAAAUUAUUUAUAAAAUCAAUGCAGUUUUCAAUUAAAUUUCAGCUGAAAGUAAGUAUAAUUUGCAUUGAAAUUGUAAAGUGACAUUUUUUUUGUAACAAGAAAAAAAUAUUAAAAUGACAUUUAUUAUGAAACAGAGGGAAUACUAUUUAGGUAUCCAUGUGGGUACGAAUCGGUUCUUUCAAGUAUCAUGAUAUUUUAGUCUUAAAAUUAUGCUAUGUUUGAAUAUUAUAAAUUUAUGGGCGGAGUCAAGUCGGGUCUUUUUGGAUUCGGAUGAGUUUGGUUAUGAUGCGUAGAAACCUAAAAGUAUUCAAAUAACCUAUAUGUUUAGAAAUAUCUUUAAACAAUUUAUAAAACAGAAAGACUUAACACGAAAGGAUGUGCGGAUCAAGUUCUAAUUAUCUAUCUUAUUAAAACUGAAGUACAAAAUGAGAUUGUUUGGAAACAUGUAUAUGAGUUUAAAAAAUAAGAGUGUUUGGUAACAUGGAUUGUAGUCUUUUAAAAAAAUAUUACCUUUGUUUGGAAAUAAAGAUAGUAGUAUUUAGCAAAAAAAGUAAUGAACUUAUGUUAUUAAGAAAAAUUGAAAGUCCAUCAUAUUAUAAAAAAUUAUCUAUUUGGGUCAGUUUUAAAAUGAGUCAAAUCAUUUAAACUUUUUUUUCAAAACUAACCAUAAAACAAAAUUUAAACUUUAUAUACAUAUUUCAAAUCAAAAUAAUAAUUCAAAAUUGAUUUACAUCAUAAAUUAAUUGAAAAAUAUACAUAUAUUCAAAAAUGAAUUUUUACUAAACUCUUUUUCAAUAACCAUUACUUUUGUUUGAAAACAAGGAUAGUAUUAUUAAGCAAAAAAGUAAUGGACUUAUGUUAUUAAGAAAAAUUGAAAGUACAUCAUAUUAUAAAAAACUAUCUAUUUGAGCCAGUUUUAAAAUGAGUCAAUCUAAUUGCCUAAAACUUUUUUUUCUAAACUAACCAUAAAACAAAAUUUAAACUUUAGAUACAUAUUUCAAAUCAAAAUAAUAAUUCAAAAUUGAUUUAUAUCAUAAAUUGAUUGAAAAAUAUACAUAUAUUCAAAAAUGGAUUUUUACUAAACUAUUUUUCAAUAACCAUUAUAAAAAAUGUUGUCAACAUAUAUAUAAGAAAAAUACAAUACGAAGCCCAAUUUGAAAUACCAACUAAAAUUAUGGUUUUUAUAUUUCAUAUUAAGUUUGAAAAAUAUAAUAUAUGUAAUUAUUUAUAUGAUGGUACAUAUAAAAUACGAUUAAUUAUAUGAUGACAAUAUACGAUACAUAAUAAUGACUAGGGAUGGACUUUCGGUUACCCAUACGAGUUUGGUUCUGAUCGAUUUGCAUUUCAGAUUUCCGGGGUCAAAGAUUUCAGCCCUAUUAGGAUGUUUCUAAAUUUUGGUUUGAGUGUGAUUCAGACCUUUGCGGGUUUGGUUCGAGUUUGGAUCCAUUUAAAUUAUUUUUAAAGGUUUAAAUCAUUAUAUAUUUUAAAUUUCUCAAAAUCUAUAAAUAAAAUAAUAUAUUUCCUAUAAAUUUAAAUAAGAUAUGUCAGAAUACCUAAGCUUAACAUAUCAAUUGGCAUUUAAAAUUUUUGGAUACAAAAUCAAUAAAUAUUUUAAGUAUUUUUGGUGAUUUGAGUAUACUUUAACUAUUUCAGAUAUUUACUUUUGACUAUCUAUAUAUAUUUUCAAGUAUUUAAACCAAUUUAAAAGUAUAAUUCUUGAUGUUUUAUAUACGUUAAAUCUAAAUAUAAUUAAAUAUAUAAGUAUCCGAAUACUUCGGUUCGGAUCAGAUUUGGAUCUCUAAAUAACAAAACUUUGAAUAAUUUGAAUAUUUAAUCAAUUUAUGUUCGGGUUUGGUACUAUAUUUUCGGAUCGGUCUCGGGUCUGUUCCUCGGAUUCAUUUUGCCAAACCCUAAUAAUUACAUGAAAAACAAAUAUCAACAUAUUUUUCAAAAUAUACAUCCGCGCAGGCGCGCAGAUUAAAUAUUAACAUAUUUUUCAAAAUAUUUUGCUAUCAAUUUUGGUUCGGGUUUGGUAUUACACUUUCAGAUCAAGAUCGGUUUCGUUCUUCAGAUUUUGAUUUUUUUCAAGCACUAAUAUUAACAUAAAAAACAAGUAGCAAAAUAUUUUUGAAAAAUACACCCGCGCGGGUGCGCGGGUUAAAAUCUAGUUACUGUUAAAACUAAAGUACAAAACAAUACUUGCCUAUUUUAAGUGAUUUCUUACAUCUUUUUAAUUCAUUUUUCUUUUACUUUUAACUACUUCAUUUAUUGUCUUUUCCAAAUGAUUCAACAUCAUUUAUUACAAAAGUACAGAACAAAACUUACCUAUUUUAAUUGUUUUAUUAUAUUUUUUACAUUUUAUUAUUAUUUCAAACUACUUUAUUAAUUGUAUUUAACAUAAUAAUUUGACGUCAUUUAUUUUACGUGUUAACCAUAAUAAUUUCACGUAUUUGAAUGAAAUUGAUCCUGAUAAGAAUCAAAUCGGUUAACAAUUUUUUUUGUUGUUUACAUAAUUAUUUAAAUUUGGACACUCAUGUACACGUUUGGAUACGGAUCGGUUUUCUCAAGAAUAUAUUUUUUUAGAUUUUAAAUUAAAUUUCAGUCGGGUAUUAUAAAUUUAUUCAGAUUCUACAUAGUUCAAACUAAAAAUAUCGAAAUAAUCUAUGUUUAGAAAUGUCUUAACCAUCCGUACCGAUGCGCACAUCAUGCUCUAGUGUAGAUUAAAACAUAAGCCUAAUUAUGCAAAUGAAGAGGGCACAAAGUAAGGCAGACAAUAAGUUAAAAAGAUAUUGUAAUAGAAUAUAUUACUUUGACGAAUAAGUACACUACAAACAAAUCAAUAGAAUUUUUAAUAACAAAAAGAAAAAGUAGAAUUUUGUUCCUUUCUCAACUCUUCACUCUCUAUGCAGCAAAGCACUCUUUAGGAAGACCUUGAGGGAAUCUCUUCGUAUCCGUGCAAUAGUUGUAGAUCAUGUAGUUCUUCUGCACCCAUCUCAUCCUUUCUUGAGCCGUAGAGUCAAGCUCCUGCGACAGCCACGAGCCAGUGGUCCCCUGUCCCGAGCCAUUAGGACAAGACGACUUGCCGUUUGACCAAACACAAGCUUCUUGGUUAAAGCCACGGUAGGAAGCAGUGAAAGGAGCUUUAGACCAAUCGGUUUUGACCAAACCACCUCUCGUGGCCCAAUCAUCAGCGUUCCAAAGACUGGAAUACAUUCUCAUUGGUUGGUUCUUAGGAAAUAGAGUACCAACAGAUUCCAUGUUUUUGAAUUCUCUAAUGGGAGUUCCAUCGACUGUGAAAAUGAUUCGUUGUGGGUUCCAGAGAAUGGUGUAAGUGUGGAAAUCAGCUGUUGGGUCGAACCAGAGUUUGAACUGCUGUUCUUUGUCUCCUUUGCCUUGUGUGUAUACAUUUGUGUGAAGUGUGUAAGGAUCUCCACUUAGGUUCCCUAAGAACUCGAAGUCAAUCUCGUCCCAUGUGGUUCCUGGUGAUUUCAACUGUAACGAAAAACUAAUUUUAGUAACAAGAACUUCAAAAUGUAACAAAAGAAAAAUAAACGUGGUUAUGUAACUUACGUAGAGUGUUGUGACUGUUCCUGCGGAGUUACCAGGGACGAGUUUCAUCUGCAUGUCGAUUUUACCGAACAAGUACUCGUUCUUGGACUGGAAACCAGAGCCAGAUGAUUUGUCUAGAGACAAAGUGAGAAGCUCUCAAUUGUACAAACGCGCCCACGCGCCCCUCUUCGUGCGACCUAGAAAGCGAAACCUAAAACCUUAAUUCGAUCUCGUCUCUCGUCGGCUCAGCCGUUGACGCCUCCUCCUUCCGGUGAAUCACCAAGCUAUUACCGGCGGGGAACUCUCUCGAUCAACUCCUCUCACAUCUCCGGCGAUCUCUCAUCAUGGAGCCUCUUGAGACUCUACGUUCCGGAAUCGAAGGUGUUAAUGGUGAAGAGGAUCAAGUGGAGGUUCAGACCAACAUCAUCUCUGACUCAGGAACUAGGAUCUCUUGCAAGGAGAAGAUUAACACCCUGAACUCCGACAAGCUUCAAGUCCCUUUGACGGUCACGCCUGACUCUUCUUUACCAACUUCUUGUGCUUUUGGAGAAGCAUCAACGGAGGUGGGCCACACGAUUUCAAAAGCUACUUCUUCUGUGCUCGCGGGUCCUGCUUUGCCUCAGCCUCAGCUCCAAGGAGCUUGGACUAAACCGCUGUUAAUAACUGGAGCUACAGAAAGUUCAACUUUGUUUUCUGAUAGCCCUGCAGCGGAAAACUCUGAAUGGCCGGCUCUUUCAACCAGGGAUAUAGGUAGGAAGAAGAAUCAGUCUUCCGUAGACAGAACAAAGGCUGUGCAACAAACGAAACGAGUUGAUUCUUCCUCGACUCAAAGAGUAAAGCUUCCUACUGAUAAGACCCGGUUUCCUUGGGCUGCUCGAAUGAACCCACAAACAAGGAAUCUCCAUCGCGUGACAGUACCCGAAUAUAUGGAGGAUGGCACUCCUAAGGUAACUAUUCCGGAUCAUGUACUACUCCAUGGUUUACAAAACCAUAGGGAAUAUGUGAUAGGACAGUUUUACCGCUGUCUGGUACCAUCUGGUGGGUUAGUGUAUGCUGUUCUGAAUAGGAUUUGGGGUAGAAAAUGUGAGAUUUUCGUCAGGAAGAUUAGUGAAUUCUCUUAUAUCUUCCACAUCCCAGAUGAAUCUACUAGAAAAUUUGUUCUCCAGCGUAGCUUAUGGCAUGUGGAUGAUUGCCUCAUGUUUGUUGCUCCUUGGACUUCUUCGGAAACUUUAACCCUUCCUGAAAUUUCAUCAAUUCCGAUUUGGGUCACGCUCAAAAACAUCCCCAGCACUCUAUAUUCCAUCCUAGGAAUCGAAUGGAUUGCUUCAGGAGUAGGAGAACCAAUGUUAUCUUACAAACCGUGGUUAGAUCCAACUAUGAUAGGAGAAGCUAAGAUUAUGGUGGAAGUUGAGUUAGAUAAACCUUUCCCACAGAAAGUUGCUGCUUGGGAUAAGCAAGGGAACUUUUCUUUGGUUGAUGUGGAAUACUCUUGGCUUCCUACAUCCUGUGAGAUAUGUGGUCAGAUUGGUCAUAAAUCAAGGAGAUGUUUGUCUAUUUCUGGUCUUAAGGCAGCUACACCAGCUACUAAGAGAAAGGAUUCAGUAGUCGCCCAUGUCUUUGCAUCUGCUGAUGCUUCACCACCCGAAAUGAAUAUUCAGAAGGUCAUUGAGGUCUCUUCAGAAACAUCACAGGAAGCUGCUGUGGCUAAAAGAGAUGCAACACUUUCAGAUAUUCCAAUCCCUUCUCAAAUUAAAGAAGCUAUGUCAAUGGCAACGGUACAAGCAUCUAACUCUCAGCAAUAUAUUUCGCAUGCUCCUGUUUCAGAUAAGCCAGCUACACCAAAAGAAGAUACAUCUUGCAUUUGUGAUGAGGUGAUCGACAAGAUUAAUUCUACUGAUGUGGAUGAUCUAGUUUCUUUAGCUACUGUUUCAGUGCUAGAGAACUUGUACGAGUCACCAACAGUUAUUUGUGUCAAUGAAACAAUUGAGUCUUCCCCUACGGAGUCUGCCCCAACAAAGCAACAUAUAGAGUCUUCCAUCACUCAAACCUCAACCGAGGUUAGCAAGGAAAGUAUCAGAAUGCAGGAGAUUGAUUUGGGCUCAAAUCAGUUUGCCUCUUUAACUUCCUUAGAAGGAGAAGAAGAAUAUCAAUUGGAUUUGGAUGAAAGUUCUGGUCCAAUAGACAUUUUGACACCUUUGGGGAAAAGACUCCUUCGUGAAAGACCUGUUAAACCCUCGGCAAAAGGUAUGGAAUGGCAAUUGCAAUCCUCGUCUCGCGGGCGAGGAAAUAGAGGACGUGGAAAUCGUGGGAAACUACGGUAGAAGCGACUUUUACCCCUCUCUAAAGUCAACCAAAGUAAUGCUUUGGUAGUCUCUUGUUUAACUAUGUUUAUUGCAUGUUACAAUCUUCUCUUGAAACUGUAUGACUUCAGUCAUAGCCUACUAUGUAACCGUCUUUUCAAAUAAAAGUAAAAAAAAAAAAAAAAAAAAAAAAAAAAAAAAAAAAAAAAAAAAGUGAGAAGCUCUCCAUUGUUUUUGAUCUGUCCACGUCCAUCUCCCCAUGUGAUCUCAACGUCUCUUUGGAAAUUAGCUGAAACAGAGGAGAUGACUAUAAGAGAAAUAAACAGAGGAAGGAAGUAACUGUGUGCCAUUUUGAGAGAUUUAUCUAUGUUUCUUGUGUUCUUGUAUUGGAUUUUUAGAAUGUGAUGUUUGAGGGUUUAUGGAUGGAUGGAUGUAUAUAUAGUAGUAGUAAAGGUUUGAGAUUUGAGAGGAGGUUCGAAAGAGGAAGGUUCAUAUGGUGAAAGACGAAGCCGUGUUUAAGGCAACAGCUGGGGUUGGGCCAUCUUUGUAGUAAAAGCUGUGUUUAAAAUUGGCUUUGGAGCUCACGCGGUUUUUUAAAUAAUGUUUCUUUUUAUUAUCUGAUAAUAAAUUUUACAUUUAAGGGUUUUUUGUGUCAGAUUAUUUUAUUGGAUUUGGGAGUUUUGCUAUAAAAAGAGAAGUUCAAUACGUUACCACCGGCUUGGACCGACUUUGAUAGGUAAAGAGUUUUCCUCUAAUAGAACCAAGAGAUUCUGUUAAUCCAAAAGAAAUAACAAUAUGUUUGUUUUAAGAAAGUUCAUUAGAAUGCUGACAAAAAGAAAACGUAACUAGGAUAAGGUAGAUUUAUGAGUUCUAGGUUUUAAUUGGUGAUUCUAAAUUUUUCUUUUUUACCAAUUACACAACCAUGGUUCAUAAAUCAUGACUAUCUUGAUUUUGUUACAUGUACUAUUUUGGGGUAGGGAUAUAUAUAACUUACUGUAGACGAAAUUGAAACUUAUUUAAUUUGCGUAUUUAUUUUCAAUGCCACAACAAAUUUAGAGUAGUUUUAAGAAAAUAUGAAGAUCGAACUAUAUUUAAAGUUUUUAUUUUUAAAUUUAAAUUAAAAUUUUAAGCAAGAUGAAGAAGAGGAACACGUUGAAGGGAUAAGGUAGUUGUUGGGUAAAAUUAUUAAUUUGACUGACUCAAAUGUUGGAUGUAGUGACAUAGUCAGUCAGGGACAGCUAAGCAGACACUCAAGUUGAUGUAGCGGUCGUGGUCUGGAAGUUUCUUGGUCCAAGACUCCUAGUGGCUAAAUUAGAUCAAAUGUCUGUUCCUGUGAACGAAAUUAGAUCAAAUCUACCUCCCAAAAUCCAAAUAAAUCUAAACUAAAUUUUUAGUCAUCAAAUGUGUUAAUUAUUACCAUUAAAAAUCCUGGUCAGAUGGUUAAAAAUUCCCAGAACACAACCAACUAAUAAUCAAGCACGAAUCAUAGAAACAUAACACUGGUCUUUAGUGGAACACAAGUCUACUUGAGAAUCAAAAAAAGAAGAAAAAAAGACAUAGAUUCUACUUGUUAAGACUGCAAAAUCAGUUCUUAAGAAUGCUACUGUCUAAAUGAGUCGAUCAAACAUAUUAGAAGUCUCCUGCUUCAUAAACACAACACAUCCACUGAAUCUAUCUGUACACUCCUUUUAUACAAUACCUGUGUCACUUCACCUCCAUUCGCGCUGCUGCUGCCUUGUGGCCUUCAAGAUUCAGUUUCCAGUUGGUAAACACUGUUUUGAGUCAGUAGUGUUGUUACCAUCAUCAUGAAGGUAUGAUACGAUCAUGAUGAAGAAGGACCAGACUAUUCUUCGUCAUCAUCAUCCAGCUCUACAAUCUGUGCACGCCUCUCAGCAGCUUUCCUCCUGAUGAAGAAACCCCAUCUCAUUGCUGCCUUUAUCUUAAGCCACCCAACAACAGCUCUGCCUGAUCGACCACGGUCUUCAUCAUAACCUUGCAUAGGCGUGUGUAGAAACGACGGGAAAGUAUACCCAUCUUCCUGCAAAUGUGAAGCAGAGCCAUUACCUCCUCCCCCUCCUCCUCCCAUGCUGAAUAGGCGGAGGAACUGUUGCAUGUCCUCGUUCUCCAGCAUUUCGUGGCUUCUCAGACGGAUCUCUUCCUCUGAGAAGAACUCUUCCGCUCCUCUCUCGCGGUGGUUCGACCAGUCUUCAAAAGGAUUGAGAUUUGCCUGUUGGACUGAAGAAGAGUUGAUGUUUUGGUACCCACUCGUGGAUGCCUGUGGAGGACCGAGAGCAAGCAUACCGUUCAUGUUUUGAUUGUUCAUGGAGCUUUGACCCUGAUGUAGAUUUCCCAUGAGCUGAUCCUGCGCUGUUCCGCCUGAAGCAACCUCAAACUGUGCUCUCGGGUUGGAGACUAGAAGCUGGGGAUACGGAGGAUACCUUGUCGCCAUAGUUUGAUCAUACCCUGCAGAAUUGAACAAACUUAUAAGAUUUAGUACAGUAACACAAUUUUUAUGGGAGUGACAGCAAUUCACAAACCUCCAAUAGCAAAAUCUGAAAGCACUGGAGGUUGAUUAGCUGGCACUGAGGAUGAUUGCCCUGCCAUCUGCAUUGGAUGGUUAAUGGCAGCAGUUGAGUAAUUAGCUUCAUCAGCUUGAGUAAUACCCAAUCUCUGAGGCUGCUUCAUGUCUAUGAGAGAUUUUCCAUCAUACUCUAUGACUAAGUUCCAGUUGUCAUAUGCUUUCUUCACCAGCCCAUCAACAUAUACCUUCAGAACACAGAAGUGAAAAACAGAAUUGAAAUUUGUUAUAUAUCUCUCCCUUCAGUGACUUUGAAAGAAUGCAGUUCAAACACAGCUAAUUAACAUUGAAUCAAUACAGAAGAUAGUUGUGAAUCAUAGCUUAACUAGACCAUAAGUUGCAGUUUAAAUAAAGGGUGUUUCAAGAGAAAGGAACAUGCAGCAAACCUUUUGGCUUUCAGUAAGUGAAUCAGCAGAGUAGUAUUGGUCCCCGGAUAUGAGACCACUUAGCUCAUAGAUAUUAUUGAACACAACGCCGACAUUCCUCGAAUCCUCAGCAUAGUAGAUAUAAAGCUUACCGCUCAGGACACACGUCUUCGCGUGCUCUACUAGUGCAUCCCACAUUUUGUUUGACAUUCCACUUCCGAGAAUCUAUAUAAACAAGGAUACAUAUAAAAUUAUCCAUGGCUUUAUAUAAACUCAACGAAUAGUAUCUUUCACGCGCACAAAAAUUGACAAUAAAAGCACUUACAGUACGUAAUUUUGCAGAAUCUCUGACCAUUGUUCUCAGAAAGUCUUCUACAGUGAAUAUUCUUGCAGCGUUUAGCUUCUUAUGGAAUGCACCAUCCUUACCAAUCUUCUCCAGUCUCCACACGUCAUCAUUCAGAGCAGGAGGAUAAUGCUUCUUGUACACUGCACAUAAACAAAAUGUGAAUCAAACUAAAAGAAGUAAACACCAUACCGUACACUGAGAACAAAUAGAAGUAGAAACUUUUAAGAUCAUACAUUCGCCCCUGUGAUCUUUAACAAUGAAAGCUUCAGUCUUUGCCUCACGUAUGCGCAUGCCAUCACAACACCCAGAAGAAACCCUUAAACCAAGCCUGAACUUCCUACUCCGAAUCCAACUCGAGUUAUCGGUGAAAACCAGCUCGCCCAAAGUUCCAACCCCUUCCUUGAGAGUAACAUACAAAUCUCCAGUCAGCAACGGUCUCUUUCCUUGACGCUCUUUCACGACAUGGCUUUCGAAUUCUUCCUGUGUCCAGCCUUCAUCAUCUUCGUUGUUGAAGUCACCCUCAAGGACAACAACCUCAAGCUUUGCAGAAGCCUCUGGACCAUAUACCACGGCGCGCCCAGUGUUGGCAUCAAUCAAGACGACAUGGAUUGCAGCACCCUGCUCUCCUUCAACUCUUCCUCCUGUGAAUAAGGGGAGAGAUAACCUAGACCUGAACUGUAACCGUAAGUUCCGGCCAUCCGGACCUUCAAUUCGCUUUGGAGAAGACCCAGACACAGACCCAGAACUGCAAACCAAUAACAAACCUCAGUGUAACUGUUACUUAACGUUGAAAAAGAAUGUUACUAAAGAUACAAUGAUGAGCAGUUUUCGAUUUAACCUUCCAGUAAGCCUAGCAGGUCCUAAUUUGGCCAAAGCACGUUCCACUUCCUCACUGACCUGCUCAAAAAGAAUCCUACAUUAACGCUUUUAACAAAGAAUAGCUCAUUUCUAAGCACCGGACAUAAAACAAAGAAUCCCCAUUUCUGGGCUGUGAAAGUGUUAAUACAGAUCCAUAGUAUUGAGUGACAAGAGUUACGAAUAGUGCACACACGUAAAAGCAGAGUAAAUGAUCCCCAGAAGAGGAAGAGAUCUUACAACUCGGCGGAGAAUAGGUUCCAAAGAAGAGCAAAGCUUCUGCAAACUGUCUACUUUGAGAGCCUCUACAAUCACACUGCCACAACAGUAAAAAAAAAAAAAAACACACACAAAGUUAGAAACUUUCUGAAAAAAUAACGGGAAGUAAAGGAGGAGAAAGAACCUAGCAAGAGCAGGACGUUUUCGCUCAGGCUGAUCACCAUCAUCACCGUUGUUACCAUCCAAACUCCUUUUAUUUCUAUUCAUGUUGUCAUUACCUCUAUCCAUUCUAUUCUAUUCUAUUCUACUUGUUCAUUUCUCCACACACAACAAUAACUUCCUAGAUCUGCAAAAUCACAUACAAGCAACCACACCAUUACAAUAUCGAAAGUCUAUUAAAUCAAAACACCCUUCGAACGUCUGAGAUCACAAGUGAAGAGACGAAGAGAGACACGUGAAGAAGGAAGUACCUGUUGAUCGAGACGGCGAAAUCAGAGAGUAUCUCCCCGAUUUAUAACCGUCGGCGUCACGAUUAGUAGUGAGCAACGGAAGGAAGUGGUUUUUAGUCUCCUCGUUUUGGUCUUCUUCUCUCUCUCUCUCGAUCGAUGAUUUGGGAUUCUUUUUGGGGUUAAUCUCUGUCUAAGUCAACUAUGGCGACUCAUUGGGAGCUUUGGCACUGGUCUCUACUGGGCUUUAAUCCGGUGCGGUAAGGUCUACCUGAUAGCUAUUGUUGUCGUUUUCAAUUAAAACAAAAACGUUGUGUAAUAGUGUUUCAUUAUUCACCACCCCUUGUCCAAUUCGAUCGCAGCCGCAGAUUGCAUUUACGGCCUUUAAGGUUGUACACUUUUCCCAAAGCCACUUUUUUCUUAUGUCGACCAAAGAAGUAUCAUAAGAUAAUUUUGUUUAUAUCACUGUGUGUAUUUAGCUUUUUCGAUUAUAAAAUUAUUUAAUUUCCAUAAACCAUACAUCUCGUGAUGAUCUAAAUCUACCUACCACUAAAUAUUUCAGACUCCCAAGUCCAAAAGUACUUUAAUUUGAAACAAAUACGGAGUAUGUUGACAAAGUAGUAAAGGUGUGAUUAAUAAUACAACAAAGAGCUAACAUGGAGAGUGUGUUUUGGGUUUUCAUGCUCUAUUGAAUUCUCCGAGCCUUUUGUGAAGUUUAGUGAGCAACCGGUGGCAAAUCUCCGGAGAUGUGCAAGGGCCACACAUGAGGUAUACAACGUUUCCCAGAGGACGCAUGAAAAUACCGUCUUCCCGGAGCAUCUCUAGAAGGGACUUUGCGUACAAGGAAGCAUACCUGAGAUGAGACAUGCCAAUGUAGGAUUGUUCAAUACAACGAGGAUAACAUAAACAGUUUCAAGAGAACAAGGAUAUAAUGUCAUUUGAUAGCUUACCCGGAAUUGGAAGCAUCUACUUUAAGUUCUAGAGCGAAAACGGUUCCUAAUACAACCACCCUUUCAACUGCACAGUGGGAUGAUAUUUGUAGCACCAGUUCUUCGUCCCACAGCUGCAAAACAAAAAACGCGUACGAUCAAGAACCAUUUAUUUUAGCAAAAACCAUUUAAAGAUGUUGCUAUUGACUACAUAUUUUUAUCAUAUGCCAUACUUUGUGUCAAGAUUUCAAGUAAUAUUAUGUUAAUUAAAGAAUAGGAAUGUCCUAGUACCUCUCUUAAGGUUCCUCUUUGUGAAUCGAUGUUAUGGUUAGUCUCUGGAUCUUUGAACCAUUCUAUAGCUUUAGCUGCUGUUGCGCAACCCAUAGCAUGAGCUGAGUAUGAGUGACCAUGAAGCAGGGCUUUAAGCUAUACAACCAAUAAAGAAAGUUAGAUGGCUUCAAGCAAGGAUCAAAAUCAGCUUUUGAUAAGAGCGAGCCUUCUUCAACUUUCGUUUUAUUACCUUUGAAUCUCCAGAAAAUGAAUCGAACACGGCAUCUGUUGCAAGAGUGACAGCCAAUGGAAUCAUUCCACCAGUCAGCAAUUUGGCGAAGCAAGCUAUGUCCGGUUUGCAACCGAGAAGGUCAGCAGUAGUCUAGGUAAAUUCAUGGUCACUUGUCAGCAGAAUGUUAAAGGGAAUAUGGUAAUAGAAAAUCUAUAACAAAAUGACAUCAAAUCAAGUAACAGUAACUACCUCUACUCCAAGACGCCAGAAACCUGUGAACACUUCAUCGAAAAUUACUGGAAUUUUUCUAUUACGGCACUCAUUGACCAGAACUCGUUGGAAAAGCGGAUCAACCAUGUGCAUUCCCCCAGCACCAUGAAUCACUAACGAUAAAAUUGCCACAUUCAUUAAAGACCAGGGAUGCUAAACCUUACUGAACUAUUUAAAUUCAUACUGAUGAACAUACUAACAUACCUGGUUCUAUUAUCAGUGCUCCAACGUGGGCGGAUUGUGAACUUUUGGAAUACUCUUGUAACUGCUCUGACACGUAUGCUGAAUAGAUUGUCGCAAGAACCGAUGUGUCUCUACUCUUGUCAAAUAUCUCAUCACGAGUGGUGAAGGCUGUUAAGAGUUCGGCAGUACUAAGUUAUACAGCUAAAGGGAAAAUAAUAGGAACUGUUGGAUGACAUAAGGAAGAAAGGGUGUUUUUACUUCCAGAUUCUUCCGAAGCAGUUUGAGGAAAACUUUCAGGGAGAGAGAGAUUCCAUGCUCCGUUGGAGAUAAAGACAGUAGGAGGGUCCAGAAACAUGCCUCUUCCAGUAUACCUACAAUGCAAUAGAUAAGCAGGGAAAGCUGAGAAUAAGUGGAUAAUAUUAUUAAUACUUGCAGAAGACAAUUCUGGUGGGUGCGUAAGAUAUGGAAAAAAAGAAGCUGAGUUUACAGAUGUAAUCUGAUUCAUCCAUAAGGGAUGACACCUCUAUCUAAGCAACAGUAUGGGAUGGUUGCUAUGCAGAAGAUGCUUAAGAAUAUUGGAAGCAAAAUUCUACAGAAAUGGUCAAGUAAGAAUCAUGACGACAAUAAUAAAUUCAUUACCAUGGCUGCUGGAGAAAGCCUGUGUAAGGUGAUGGUGCUUGUGCUUCCAUCGCUCCUAAAGUAUCCCCAUGGUAAGACCCUCGAAGAGCUAGGACCUAUAUUAGAACACAUCAAAAUUUAACUUUAGAACCUAAAAGACAAAUGACAAAACCACAUAAAUGAAGAUAAACAUGCAUAUGUAAGAAGUUGAGCUGCCACGAAAGGGGCAAACCUUGAAUCUUAGUAAGCAUCACAGUGGCAACAAUUGUUCAGUAACAGGUACAGUAAAGUGUCUUAGUAUCGUUGAGCACUAGCAAGAUGAUUGUACCUUAACAUCAACAUGCUUCUUCUCUUCCGCAUCCUCAGAAAGACCCAAUAGGGUCUCAUGAUCAACACAGAACUUACGAAAUGCCAUCUUCAGGGCAAUUUCGAUUGCUGUGGAUCCAUUAUCCGAGAAGUAUACUCGAGAAGCCCAGCCUGCAUGCAAAAACUAAUUAGCUCUUCCCACAAGUGAAACAAUGUGACAGAACAAGUUUAAAAACCUUUUCCCACUCCAUCUAAUAAGAGCUCAGCACAUUUCAAGGCAGGUUCAUAUACAUUCUCAGGGAACAUAACAUGCCCGAACCUAGCAGCAGUGUAACCCAUCUCUCUAGCAAGCUCAGCCUGAAACAGCCUAAACAAAUAUUCAAAAUAAACUUCAGAAGAUUCACCACAACGAAAGAUAAGCAUUAAGAUUUACGAUAGGGAAUGAUAGUUAUCAUAAAACUUAGAGAACAGUGGCCACAGAUGACCUGGAAAGCAGGAUCUGGCCCCUGUGUCCACCAGCUUGCACAAGCGUCAAAUUGCUGGGUAAUAGAAUUGUUAUCGGAAGCCUGAAAAUGAAGAAAGUCACACGUCUCAUUACUUGCAGCAAAUUCUAGAUGCACAUAUCUGAAACAAUAAAGCUACCAGUUUGAUUAGGACUCUUCUAAUUACAAAAUUAAAGGAUCUUCUCAUACAAACCUUGAAUACUGAAAAGUUUUCACCACAUCGGGAGUCUAUAACCGUCACAUUGUCUUCAGGCACAAGUUUAUGCUGAGUAAACGGCCACCAGAAAACCUCCCCUGCUUGCUUCGCCAUGCCGUUUAAUCUAUCCACUCUCUCCAAAUAAACUGAUACCAUUACCUCCUUCAAAGCCUUAAACACACCAUCGGAUUCAACAAACCAUUCAAUAAGAUCAUCUGAAGGGUCCUUGGGAACAGGUGGGAGCACAAGCACAGGCACCCUACAAUCCAAACAUGUACAAACAAGAAUAAAAAACCGUGAAAGGGAAACUGAAAGCAACUAAACAAGUAAAGGCACCAACUUGUUUCUUAGAUACGAAUUUAACGGAACUUCAUUAACAAGUCCAUGAUCCUCAAAAACGACAGCAGCAACGUCGUAUCCUCGAAGUUUUAGACUCUCAUAAGCAGCAAUAGUCCCGGAGAUACCACCGAGCCUACCGUCUCCAACGAGAAUCCCCGGUAAUCUAAAAGGCCUAAAGUUCAAAAAAAAAAAAGAUAUUAACCAAAUUUAUCUCCUUCUAUGAGUCCGAAUGGUAACAGACUGCAGAAGAAUAACUGCGGUGUGGUUCUAAUAAUAACAAAAACAUAUACAUAGAGAUUUUUGUUACUAUUAGGCGCCGUAGGAGAAGAAGAUAAAGUGUUAACCUGUAGAGAUCGCACUGAAGAGUCCCCGAUGGCCCCGGACUAGCAACUCCACCGGCGGUUUCCACCAAACAUAGAACAUUUGCUUUACUUCCACAUUCCAUCUCUUGCUCCACCAUCUUUAACACGACGGAGUCCUCAACCGUUGCGUGUUCCCUCUCCGCCGCCAAAUGCGGAGAGAUAGCCGCCUCCCAAGCGUACAGCGUCUUGCACAGAAGCUCCGGCGCGCCGGUGACAGUCUUCUCCUCCCUGAAAUUCAAAUCGCACAUCCCACUCUCGCUGACUUUGAUAUUCCGUCUCAUAGAUUCCGCUACGGGGAGCGAGGAACGGAGGACGGAGUUGGAGACGGAGAGAGGAAUCCGGCAACGGAGGGAGAGGGAGUCGAGCUUGGAGAAGACGAAGCGAGAGUCGGAGUCGGAAGGGAAGCCGGUUUGGAUAGGUUUCAAGUAGAGGAGUUUUGAGGAAUGUGCUGCGGGGGGAGAGGAGGAAGGUUGGUGGAGGAGGAAGGAGGAGGCGAUGCCGGUGGAGACGAGGGUUUUGCCGAGGGAAGUGUUGGCCGACCAGAUUAAGUAGGUAGGGUGGUUGAGAGGGAGAUUGAAAUGAGAAGGAACAGCGGUGGAGUUGAGCCUGAUGUGGUGGUGGCGUAAGUGGCGGAGACGGUGGCGGAGGAGUGUGGCUGUUACCGGCGACAUCAUCGGUGGGAAGCGGGGAGAGGAGAGGAAGGAGCUAAACUCUUUCGUUGUUUUUACGGCUCCCCUCGCGGAAUCAAAACUAGGGUGGACAUAUAAUUCUGUGGUCUGGUUCGGUAUACACGAUUUUUUCAAAAACAUUUACUUUUAAAAAUAUUUGAGAAACUAGGGUCAAUAUAAAUAUAUUUGGGUAACUAUCCGUUCACUGUAUUGGGAACUACUCAUUUUCUUAUAUUCUAGAAUUUAUCAUACCAAGCUAGCUUUUUAUAGAUAUCAGCUAAAGAUGUCACUCAAUAUAUGGUGUCAGAAUUGUUAUCUUCUAUUGUCCAUAGCAAAAAUUUAAGAUGAUUUUCUAAUUUAUUCUCUGUAUCACCAUUAUUUUUAUUUAUGUUCUGAUAUAUAAAAAGAAAAAAAAAAUUUCAAAAGCUAGAGAUACGGAAAAAAAUUAUUUUUACCAUUCCAACGAGAGUUGUUGAAGCGUUGAGAAGACUCAAAAGACCCAAUUACAGUAAGUUUUAAGCUUAGUACAUCUUUAAAAUGUUAAUGCGUUAAACUAAAUCUUGAUGAAACUAAUAUAUUACACAGAGCUUUAUCAUAUUAACAUAACAGGGUUUCUUUUUAUGCAAGAUGGAAGCAAUUCAGCUGUCGGGGCACAUGUUCACUACGGUGUAGAAUUUAUUAGUCAAAGAAUAAAAACAUACCACAAACAAAAGAGAAUCAAAAUCCAUUCUUGAAGCUUUUGAUCCCGAAGGUUAUUUGCUAACAGUAUCAUGUGGAAAAUCCACCAUCUGAGAAAUCAUUGAUGAAUCUAUUUUAUUUUUUAGUUGUUAUUUGGUAUUGUUUAUUCUGACCCCGAGAUUAUAUUGCAACUUUUUUAUUAGAAGCUUACCCCAUAAUUAUCAAUAGUCUAAUGCUUCUUUUAACCGGAUGUGUACAUGUAUAAUCUAAGUAUAUUGUAAUCUUAAUCUCUAACACUUACAACUACAUGUUAAUAACAUAUGUAGCAUCUAAAAUAGUGACGACACAUGCCUCCCAAGGUGAUCCCGCAUAACAAAAUCCAGACAUAACUGACGAAAUUGUUAGUAAAUAUUAUUGGCUUUUUUACACUAAAAAGUGGAGUUCCCAUACACUAAAAAGUGGAGUUCCCAAGUUACGCGUAACACAUAUGUUUAACACCUAAUAGGACUACAUAGACUCUAACAUGAACAAUUUACAAAUAAUAUGAAGCUCUUCACGUGUUCCAUAUGUUUAACACGUAACAUGAAGCUUUUCAUAUAUGAUUAAAUUCUUGGUGAAUGUCAUUAGCUUUUAUUACUCUAAAAAGUGGGGUUCCUAACUUAGACGUAUCACCUCUAAAUGUGUGAUAACACAUAUGUUUAACACCUAAUAGGACUGCAUAUACUCUAACAUGAACAAUUUCCAAAUAGGAAGCUAAUACGAAGUUUUUCAUGUGUUCCAUAUGUUUAACGUCUAACAUGAAGCUCUCCGUACUUGAUCAAAUUCUUGGUGAAUGUUAUUAGUUUUUACUUCUCUAAAAAAUAGGGUUCACAACUUAGACGUAACACCUCUAGAUGUGUGAUAACACAUAUGUUGAACACCUAAUAGGACUACAUAGACUUUAACAUGAACAAUUUCUAAAUACAAAGCUAAUAGGAAGCUCUCUAUAUGUUCCAUAUGUUUAACACCUCAUAGGAAGCUUUCCAUACAUGUUCAAAUUCUUGGUAAAUAUCAUUAGCUUUUAUUACUCUAAAAAAUGGGGUUCACAACUUAGGCGUAUCACCUCCAAAUGUGCAAUAACACAUAUAUUUAGCACCUAAUAAGACUACAUAGACUCUAACAUAAACUAUUUUCAGAUAGGAAUCUAAUAGGAGGCUCUCCAGAUGUUCAAUAUGUUUAAUACCUAAUAAAAACCCCUCUAUACAUGAUCAAAUUCUUGGUAAAUGCCAAUAAAUUACUCUAAAAAGUGGGGUUCACGAUUUAGACGUACCACUUUUAAAUGCGUGAUAUACAUAUGUUUAACACCUAAUAGGAUUACAUAGAUUUUACAUAUGUAAACUUCACUUCCUCAACUACUACAAUAAACUGCUGAUAUCAUGUAAAUCUUAGAGUAUUUUUCAUUGGUAUAUGGGAAGAGCAAUUGAAAACAUGUGGCUUAAAAGCAUCAUACCCUAGACCUAAUAGUAGUCCAGCAGUGUAUGAUACUGUACUUUAAGAUUUGCAAAGAUUGUUUAUCAUUCCUCUAUUUCCUAACGUGGCUAGUGAUGGGGGGCAUUUUCAACAGAGUUGAAAAUAAGCUACAUAACUUUUUGAUUUUAUCUAGUGAAUGAGGUAUUUUGCUAAUUUUGGUCCAAAAUUGAUAUAUCUAGCUAAUUGUCUCAAAAUAUUUUUUGGCGGUUUCAGACAUUGGUUAUAAUUUGAUGCAAACCGGAUCCGAAAGGAACUGAACCGAACCCGACCCAUAAAUUAGUAAAAUCCAAAUGGAACUUAUAAGUAUAAUACCGAAAAUCUGAACCAACCAAACUGAAUCCCACAGAACCACCGAAUAUCGAAGCUUAGUUUAUAACAUAUAAGUAUGUUACUGUUUUCAAUCCGUUAGCAUUACCGAAACUGAAGAUAGAAUACCUAGUGCACUAAGUGAUGUUUUUUCCUUUUUUUUUACUAAAUAUGUGAAUAUCAUAACUCUGAAUGAAAGUUUGUCAUAAAUUAUUUGUAUCAAGUCUGCUUCAGAAGUAAGAUUGAACAUAAAAACCUCAAAAAAGAAAAGAAAAAAUUAUUACGCUCUUAAAGUAUGUCUAAGCUAUUUUCAAAUAGUAAAACAACUUAAACUACAGAGCAACAGAGCUACAACAUCAAUUAGUUUCCAAAACCAAAGCCCAAACUUAAUUCGCCAGUGAAAACCUGCAAGACAAAGGGAUUAGGCUUAGGGACAAAGCAAAGACGAAGAUUAUGACCAAAAGCUACUCCAUAAAGCGACACAUAGAGGAGGUUUGGCAAGGCAUGUAUCGGCCAACGAAACGAAGAAACUCUGACAUACCCAAGAUCCUAAAACCAGACGGGAUAGAGAGCCUCCAAAGCAACAAGAGACAAUGACACAUACAGUUUACAAUGGGGAUACUCGGCUCUAACGCAUGUGGAAUAAAUGGCUCCCUAAUCCGACCACAAGACAUUGAAAAGGUCUCAAUAGGUACAACGAAUUCGUCAACAUAGAGCUUUCAUUUGGAAUAGGAAGAGCAUGAGAAGUCCUGAGACUCUUUAAAAAUAGGCGGAAAACAGCAAGAAUGGCUCCACCGAGAUGCCAUAGAAGCAUACCACAUUGGUUCUCAAUCUCUCUCACAAGUUUUCUGUCGACGAAAACAAAAGAUAAAACAUAAAAAUGAGUCUCUCGUUGGGUUUUUAGGUCUUCAAAAUGCGUCUCUCAAUGAAUAUGUGAUGUAGCGGAAGCUUAAUAGGAUAGAACUAGAAAUCCGUUGAUUCUGAGAAUACCAAAUAUUUAUCUACAUCAAUAUGGAAGUUGUUGCGACAUGUCAACGAUUGACCGCUAGUGGUGUGGAUCUUUCAGUCCUUGCCCUUGAUCUGGAAUGUAUGGGUCGAUCGAUCCUCACCAAUUUCCAGCUUAGGUCGAUCCAAUGCUCCAUUUUUCUCCAAAUUCCUGUUUAAUCGCAUUCUUUUCCGAUAAGAGAACCUGUACAUGUAGUAUAACUGAAGAACAACGAAAAAGACUGAAAAUACUAAAACACUUUGAAAAACUAAUCAUUUUUUUUACUGAAAAACGAGUUAAAACCUGAUAAAAACCCAAUACAUCAAUUGCUACAACUAACCACUUGUUGAAAUUAAGUAUGUGGUUAACUUUAUUAUUAAAGCUAUAAGAAAGGCUGACUUUCUAUCACACUGUACGUUUUCUAGAAGCUUGAACUGAAUGCUUAAGGCAUCAAGCAAUUAAUUGUUGCAGCAAAAUCAAUUCACGUGUUACAUUAGGUAUAUUUAUCAAAUGGGUGGGCUGACCAUUGGUUGCCAUUUGUCCAUGCGGAUUAUUAAUGCGGAUUAUCACAAGACAAUGGGUGUUAGUGGAUUUGGACUAUGUAGACGUAGUCGGUCCAAUGAUCACAAAAGCUAGGGUUUCUAAAAUUUGAUUUUCUGCCAAAAUCGCAAAAUCAAAAUUUUCUGCUAAAAUUUUAAUAUCGAGUAUUUUGCCAAAACCGUAAAAUCAAAAUUUUCCGCUAAAACAAAAAAAUUGAGUUUUUCUGGUCAAAAUCGAGUUUUCCUAUCAAAAUCGGAAAAUUGAGUUUUCCCCCUAAAAUCUUAAUAUCAAGUUUUCCACCACAAUUGCAAAAUCAAUUUUUUAUGCCAAAAUCGCAAAAUCAAGUUUUUCGCCAUAAUUGAGUUUUUUUCCCAAAAUCGAGAUUUUCACACAAAAAAACGCAAAACUCGAGUUUUCCGCCUAAAUCACAAAAUUGAGUUUUUUUGGCAAAACUACAAGACAAAUUUCCCGCCAAAACCGUAAAAACAAAAUUUCCCGCAAAAUCUUAUUUUCCCAUGAAACUAUAAAACACAAUUUUCUGCAAAAUCUAAUGAGUUAUGAAAUUAUGUAUGAACUUAUGCUACUUAUGUGGUCUUUUAAACUUAUAUAUUGUUGUACUUAUGGAUGAAUUUUAAUAUAAUGAACUUUCAUUUGUAUUUGUAGGCUGAUAAAUUGAAAUUUAAAAUUUUUUUAUAUGGUCCACUAUGGACUUCAUGGCAGUCCAUAUAAAUAUGGGUGUUAAUAGAUUUGGUCCUUAAUGGACAUGGUUACUCCCUGUCCACAAAAAAUAAAUAGACAAAUGGAUAUAUAUUAAUGGACGUGGACGAGCCCAUUUACAGCUCUAGCAUUAGGUAAACUGCAAUACCCAACCUCUCCAUUACGACUAAUCACUUGUUGAAAUUAAAUAUAAGGUUCACUUUAUUAUUAAAAACACCAAAAGAACACUACACAUGCAAACACUUUUUAUUAUUUUCAAAUUUCUUCCACAACGAUCACUUAGUGAACGGAAAAUCAUGUCACAUCACAAAGGCCAUCAUACUUUCUUCCGCUAGUGAACUGAAGAAAACAAUACAAUAUAUAGUCCAAUUAAAUUCUUCAGAGACAUAUCUUAUCAACGUAUAACGAUAUGAUAUGCUUUGUGAUUUUUCCACGGGGAUUGGUUACUCCUUCCCCUGCCUUAUAGGCAAUGCAGCCCGUGCGUGCACAGUCCAAAGCUGUCUUUAAAACUCUACGUGGUACAUCACUUGUCUUCAACAACUCCUCGUUCAUCAGCUUACGGGUCUUUUCAAUUAUAUUUUGGAAUUCUCUAGACGCUUCCCUUUCAGCAACCCCGUAUUGCCUCAUAUAACAAUUCAUUCCAGUAGUGACAUAUCCUCUAUUCAUGUCAAUCUAUUCAAGGUAAUUAAAUAAAUACAAAGUUAGUAAGUUAAAAAAAUUAAUGAAUAUUAAUGUAUCAUUACAUGAUAAAAAUUUUAAAUAAUACAUUCUUAUUUAUAUAUUUCAUUUUCAAGUACCUCAAAACCGGUUUUAUCAUUCAUAAGACGCAGCAUUUCGGCUAAGUACUGAAGGAGUUUAGAUCUGGAUUUCAACCAGCCAUAGCCUUGAACUUCAUCCAUAUCAUCUAUACCCAUCAAAGCGCUUGCGAGAAUUAUAAAUCCCCCAACCUCCACUUUACCAACCUCCAUGUACUUUUCAAAGCUAGGCACGUGACCCGCUGGUGCCAAUUUGGCAAGGUCAAGAUUGGAUUUCACGAAUAGCUUAUACUGCAACCAAUUGUUUGGACAUAUGUAAAAGUUGAGAUAUAUUUUUUAAAGAAAGUAAGGAAACAUAAAUCUUACAAACAUAGAUUAGUGAUCUAAGUAUAGGAUGGUUCCAAGUGGUCUAUGUUGUCGAUCCUAAAUAGGAUUAAGUUGAGUCAUCCCAAGAGGAUGUGUUACAAUAAAUCUCACAUUAGAAGUACGAGUAAUGUAAAUAUGUGUUUAAUUAGGAUGUCAAAUUGGUACUCUACCCAUGGGCGGGUCGUUUUCAAAAUAUAAUAGACCAUUUAUGAACAUAUUCAUUUAGACGUGGAUGUAAAUCAGUAAAAUCUAAAUUUGUGUUGCGAAAAGAUGGGCUUAAAUGGAUUGGAUCACAUGGUUAUUGGAUAGCCAAAACGUCUUAAAGCUUAAGUUAAAUUGUUUUGAGGAAAAUUAUGUUUUCCUGUGAAAACUGUAAAAUCAUGUUUUUCGAAAAAUAUAAAAUCAUGUUUUCCACCAAAAACAUAAAAUCAUUUUUUUUCGCCAAGUCUGCAAAAUCAUGUUUUCUCGUCAAAUUCACAAAAUCACGUUUUUCCACUAAAACCGUAAAAUCUCAUUUUGGUCAAACUCAUUUUCCCGCUAAAUCCAUGUAAUCAUGGUUUUUCGCUAUGUAAAAUUAUGUUUUUCCGUCAAAAUCAUAACAUCGUGUUUUUCCGCCAAAACUAUGAAAUCACUUUUUCCGUCCGAAGUCAUAUUUUCUCGCAAAAUCACAUUUUAAUGUUAAAAUGUAGUUUUUUUGGAUCUCACGGGUUUGGCCUUAUUUUGACGUGGUCUUUUUGGGUCUAUACCAUCAAUAUCAAUAAAAUGGGAUUGUCGAUUUAGACAACCCCAUCUGAACGUGGACACCCAAAUUGACAUCCUAUGUAUAAGUGACCUGAAACUUUAACAGGAAAACAUAGUAACACGAGUGAAAAUGUGCUGCUUACAAUGUGCUGGGUCUGAAAAUAAUGUUUGAUUGAUUGGUUACCUCAUCUCUUGUUUCUUCCACACUGUAAGAUCUUUUUUGUAGCCUCAAUUCUCGCUCACAGUCUUCAAAGACAUCCAGCAUAAAUUUAAACACAAAUUUUAAAAAACCAGGGUGAGAAUCCAUGGCAUCAUCAGAGCCCACCUGUACAUCAUAUCAUCAUCAUCGUCAUCAUGACCAUCACUGUUUCAGAAGAAUUUCAACAAGUAGUGUACCUUUCCAAGCUAUUUACAAGGCUUUCAAUCUCUGGAAGGGUAGCAUAUCUGUCACAUGUAUCAUCAAUAAUCAUUUCAGCCAUGUAAAACUUAGUCUGCAUAAUCCUCGCACGUGAGAAUUGGGGCUCGAAGAACAUCGCUAGUGAAAAGAAGUGCAUUUCCACGAUUACUUCUCUGUAGUAACGUGGCAAGUUAGAUGCAAAGUCAUAGUCCUUGAACCACCUUGCGUCACAAGUAUGUAUAGAAUAUGAGAAAAAUUUCCUAAAAGGGAUAUAUAUAUUUAUUUAUAUAAAUCAAUUGAAUCUUGGCGUACUUUAUAAGUAUUUUGAGUUCUCGAAGGUAAUGGAGCUGGAUUAAAUUGAAAUUGAGCUUGGCAAACUUGAGUAUCAUCUCGUCAUGACCAACCUCGUGUUCAUAGAACCGGAUAUAUUCAACUGCAACCAUUACCUCCAUGUUCCAACGCUGAGGUAGAGCAAGGGCAUUUUGUAUAUGCCUUAAGAGAUGAGACGGGAACAUAUGAUCUUCUGCUAUCAAGGCCAAGGUUUUUGAUGAAAAGCUCAAAGCUUCAUCCAUUAUGUAUUCAGUCGUCGUCCCCAAGUGAGCGGCUUCAUACAAGCUCAACAUACCCCUCACAUCCUUAGUAAGACAUUGCUUAAACUUCCCAUUGUCUUCUUUGAAUCUCGUGAAUACCUCUAUAUAUAAUUAUACAAGAUAAAUAUACAGUAAAAAUUCUAUAAAUUAAUAUUAUUGGAACUAUGAUAUUUAUUAAUUUAUAAAAAAAAAAAUUUUUAAAAAAAUUAAAUAAGAAAAAUAUUUGAUUUUAGUGUAUAUACAUUAAUUAAAUUUGUGAAAUUCGACAUUAAUAUUGUUUUUAUUAUAUUAUUUAGUGUAUAAAUAUGUUUUAAAGAAUUUAUAAUUACCAAAUCUCAUCAAAAUAUAUUAAAUAUUAAUAAAAUAUAAAAAUAAUUCCAUUGUAAAUAGUAUAAAACAAAAAUUAUAAUGGUUUGUUUGUACUUAUAUAAAAUGUACAUACAUAUAAAUUAUUAAUUUAUAAUUUUAAUGGAAUAAUAUAUACAUAUAUAUAAUUUUCUAAAAAUAUAUAUUAUUUUAUUAUUUUAUUAUUUGUGUUAUAUUUUGAACCGGCAUAACUUAAGAUGAGAAAAAAUUAUUAAUUUAUGAUGUUUAUUAAUUUAUUGAAUAUUAUUUUAUAGAGUUUCUACUGUAUACUAUUAGAAAAAAAAUCGGAUUGCCCAUCUUACAACAUUUUAAUUUAAAGAAGAAACAAAAAAAUGGUAUAUAAUUAACUAACUAUAUAACAUGGCCAUAUAUAUAUAUUACCGGAAGAGAUGUUGUAACCAUACGUCCUGAACACCCAGAAGAUGGUGGAAACAGUGUACAAGUCUUCUUCACCAGCCAUCAUCUCAUCUAUCUUCUCGAAAGCAUCUCUUACACUCUCCUCGAUCUCAUCUUCAAAAUGAUACGCAAGACCAAGGCUCACCAGCAAAUAGAUACUAAGGAUUCUCUUCUUCACGGAGUCGUCGCCUUUGGGAGACAUGAACAUUUUGCCCACAUUCGGCUUUAGUGCUUCUAUCUCUCUCUUAAGUGCAUCCAUUUCCUAAAAAAGAUUGUAAAUAACAAGUGAUAUAUAAUAUAUGUAAAUGUUUAUUAGACUCACGGAAACAUCAAUGGAAACAUAGUCGAAGUGAUUAGUCCAUUCAGAAGGUGACAUCUUCUUGAACGUUCGACCAUCACAAGUCGGUGUCGCCUUCAAAGAGACAUGCUUUGCUUUCUUACGGGGAAAUGACGUUAGUGGAAAGCGAGAGAUUUUCAUUUCCCGAAACAUUUUGGUUCGAGAAGGAAGAGAAAAUUGAGAUCCAUGUCUUGCUCCAAGAACUGCCAUGCUUUCUAUCUUCACCGUCAAUGUUAUCGGGUCGAUCAACUUAGGCUACCAAUUUUAUAGGCAAAAAAUGUGAUUGUUCAUAGCACUGUAAGGCCAAAUCAUCAUCACCAAACAUAUUAAAAACAAAAGUUACCUAAUAUAGAAUAAAAUAUCAUAGUAGGCUGACAAGGUAAGCCUUAUCAAAAGUUACCUACGCUGGAUAUUAUCCUCCCACACAAAUAUCAUAUUUUAAAGCUGAAAGCUAGCAGGUUGGGAGUGUAACACUCUUGAUUAGGUAUAUAUCAAAAUUGAUUAUUUUACCGUACAACAAUCAAAUAAAAACAUACUUGACAAACUAAAUAACUUUAACUAGAACGAAUAUGUUAUUAUAAUGUGCUCGAACACUCGCUUGAAAUUUUCAGAUCAAAUCAAAAAUUUUAAGAUCAAAUAUUCGAGAACGAGUUUUCUAAUGAUUCCACGUUAAGGAUGUGUAAUUUGAGUUUGAAACCAUUAGCUGGUUCGUCCCAGAUUAUGACUAAUAUUAUAUGGAACCCAAAUAUUUUUAUAAACCUUUAUUAUUCAUAUAUACUUAGGUUUAAAAAAACAUCAGACAUAUAUAAGGAGCACCACUUUCAACUUAUUACAUAUUACACUACCUCUAUAGUUUCCUGCAUAACAAAGAGUCUAAUGAACAACUGGUUUACUCACUGAGCCAAGAUUCCCUAACAAUUAAAUCAUUCUCUUAAUAUUCAUCAAUCAAGCUUCAAAGAUCGAAUAUGGCAAUGACUAUGCAGUUCAAAAUAAGUAAUCAAGUAAUCUAACUAUCCACUCUUCGUGAGUGGUUAGAUUAUCAUCGAUCUUUGAAGUUGCAUCUUAUCACUGGUUAUCCAACCCGAUACAUUUCCGCUUAUAUUAACUCUAGACAAAAAAUUCAAAAAGCCGACUGAAGAAGCAUAUCACUACUGUAUCUCACACGGUUGAGGAUGUUAGCUUUAUCAUAUGUGUCUUUGCAUGAUGCCUAGAAAUAAUUUUGGUACCGUCCUAGACAAGGCACAUCACUCAGUUGGAACCAAUAUAAAUCUCACAACACUCUAUCCAAGUGUCGGACCCUCACAGAUCACUCCCAACUGGAAGUUUGUGGCCUGCCGGAUUUUCUGUUUUAACAUGCUCAAACAUGUUAUACUCUUCUAGCCGAGUCCCGAACUAAAUAAGCAAUCACAUAAGUAUAUAAAUAUAUGCAUCAAAAUUUAAGAUUUCAGCUUUCUUAAAUUUGAAACUAUACUUCAAAAUCACAACAUAUAAAUUUGGUGCAGAGUUAUAGAAUUUCAUAAAAAUCCAAUCGAAUUUUCGGUUUUGGGAUAGACUGAUUUCUUACAGAAUAUGAAACUGUUACUUUUUUUUUAAAAAAAAAGCGCAUUCAUGAAACUGUUACUUGAUCCCAAAAUCGUGGAAUCGUGGAAUCAUGAAAUUGUGGUUUCGUGUCAGCGUCCGGAUACAAGAGUUGACACACAAAUUGUAUUUUGAGGAUUAGGUGCCAAUCUUUAGAAGAAGCUAAUGCUAAAAAUUGUGGAAUAUUUCUCAGAAAAAAAAUUGUGGAAUCAGUAUCUAGCAAUAAAAUAAAAUAAUUGAAGAAUCAUUGAUUUUGAUUUAACAUAAAAUUAGUGAACAAUUUCCUGACUAAAGAAAGCAAAGUUGCUUAAAAAAUAUUUGAUAGGUGCAACUUUUUUUUCUUAUACAGAAAGUUGAAUUAUCAUGGGUGGAUAAUUGUACUAAAUAAAAUAAAUGACAAAUUGGUUAACGAACCCGAACCCGAACCCGAAAGCAUUAUCGAUGCACAACAUCGUAUAACCAUCUCAUCUAGCUGACAAUAUAUAUUUAAACAUACUAAAUAUUUUGAUAUUCAAUAUUUUGUGGAUGCACAUACCACCAUAGUUGAUGUUUUGGCUUCGCCCUUGAUUAUAACUAGUGAUGCAAAACAUGUUAAAAAUCAAUACUAUUAAUAACAAAAACAAAAAUUCUUGAGAUUUACACUUAAUUUAACAAUACUAUUACAUUUUAUGCCGUUAGAUUUUGGUUAAUAAUCUCAGUGUGACUAGGGGAAUAUUCCCAAAAAAAAAAUUCUAUAAAUACUACAAAUAACGAUAGGUGGACCAUAAUUAGUGGAACGUACCACCAUAUUAUAUGACUACCAAAUAAAGAUUUUUUUGUCGCCGACUACCAAAUAAAGAUAAUGGGCUAAUAUAAAUAUUCUACCAUAUUUAUUUAUAAUAUUGUCCACAUAUCUACAAAUAUUAUCCCACGUUACUUUAUAUAGUAGAUUUAUCUAAAUAUUUAUAUUAUUUAUUCUUAUAUGUAUUACUAUGCUAUCUUCACCUUACAUUAUCAUCUAAUAGUAACUAUUUAAUUUUUAUAGAAUCAGUGAUGACAUUGUAAUGAAAACAUAUAAUAAAUAUAUUCAAAGUAUCAGAAUAAAAUUUAGAUAAAAUACUUAUAUUAUAUUCACUAAAUACAAACUAACAUAUUUCAGGACUUCGGUUUAUAUUAUAAACUAUAUUUAAAAUAGAAAUUCGUUUUAUAAAUAAAAUAACUAUAACUAGAAAUAUAUUUAUGUUUAUAUUUUAAAAUAUUUAUUUGAAUAAAAUAAUGUAAUUUUUAAUCACAUUAUAUGAUUAGUGUACAUAAAUUUGUAAUCAAUUAUUUAAAAUCUAAAAGAACCAAAUAAUUAAGUAAUUAUUGAUUGUAGAAAAAAAUUUAAAUUAAUGUGAUUUUUAUCGUAAAGUUAAAAUCUAAUACCUAAUUACUUAUUACUAAGAACUAAAAAUGUAUAAUACACAUGUAAAUAAUGAAUAAAUAUCACCAACUGUCACAUUAUUAUGUAUAAUAAAUAUUAUUUAAUUCAUGCAUUUUAAUAUAACUUACAUCUAAAUAGAUAACCAUAUAUAUAAAGACGGCUAACACUAUUGACUGUUUAAGACAAUAAAUAAAAUUAGUGUCGAUCAAAAUUGUUGUGUUUAAAAUAUGCAUAUAAAAUAACUAUGUAAUAUUUGUAAGUACUGUUAUAUACAUUCAAACAUAUAAAACAAAAUUUAAAAAUUAAAAAAAAUAUUUGUUUUUUAAGAAACACCCGCACAGGAAUGCAUGCCAAAAUAUAGUAUUUAUUUUUAAUAUUGUCCAAAUAUCUACAAAUAUAUCCCACGUUACAUUAUAUGGUAGAUUUAUCUAAACUAGAUUUUUUAACCGCGCUACGCGCGGAUAAGAUAUUAUAUGUAUUUCUCAAUUCUAAAAAUAAUGUAUAAUAUUGUAUUAUAUUAUUUAAAGAAUAUAAAAUAAGACUACAUAACAUAAAUAUAUUUUUUAUAUUUUCUUUGUGGAAAUCAUUAUGUUGUUUGAUUGUUGUACUUAAUUCACAUAUUUGCAUAGAUAUUUGUGAUAGAUGAAUAACUAUAUUUUUAUUAUCAGUAAAUAAUAUAUAUUUAUUAUAUAAUAUAAGAAAAAUGGAAUUAUUUACUUUUUAACAAACUUGUCUCAUGUUGGGGACUCGGUUAUAGACAUAUCAUAUUCGAAUGAAACAUUUUUACACUUAUCAAUCUUCUUAACAAUCAAGAAACAAAUUUGAAUAUCAAAACAAUAUCUCAUACGAUCUCUUUGUGGAAUAACUGCUCUGAAGAAAUUGAAUUUAUGCAUCAAAAAUGACUGAAAAUGGAUGUGCAUAUGUGUUAUCUAAGUCAGCUUUACAAAAAAUAUUUAUAGUUCAUAUAUCAUUUAUGUCCAUCCUAUUUUUUUUGUCCAUCAUUUCUUAAACAUCUUGAAAUAAGUAAUGCUAAUUAAUAAUAAACUUUUUGCUCACAAAAUAAAAAUCAAAUUUGCCUAAUUAUCGCUUAAUUUGUCUAACUGAUAUAUGUAUUUCUCAAUUCUAAAAAAAUAAUGUAUAAUAUUGUAUUACAUUAUUUAAAGAAUGUAAAAUAUGACUACAUAACAUAAAUAUAUUUUUUAAAUUUUCUUUGUGGAAAUCAUUAUAUUGUUUGAUUGUUGUACUUGAUUCACAUAUUUGCAUAGAUAUUUGUGAUAGAUGAAUAAAUAUAUUUUUAUUAUCAGUAAAUAAUAUAUAUUGAUUAUAUAAUAUAAGAAAAAUAAAAUUAUUUACUUUUUAAACAAACUUGUCUCAUGUUGGGGACUCGGUUAUAGACAUAUCAUAUUCGAAGGAGACAUUUUUACAGUUAUCAAUCUUCUUAACAUUGAAAAAACAAAUCUACAUAUCAAAACAACAUCUCAUACGAUCUAUUUAUGGAAUAACUACUCUGAAGAAAUUGAAUUUAGGCAUCAAAAAAGACUGAAAAUGGAUGUGCAGAUAUGUUAUCUAAGUCUGCUUCACAAAGUACUAUUCAUAGUUCAUAUAUCAUUAAUGUCCAUCCUAUUUUUUUGUCCACCAUUUCUUAAACAUCUUGAAAUAACUGAUGCUAAUUAAUAAUAAACUUUUUGCUGGAAAAAAAAUCAAAUUUGUCUAAUUAUCGUUUAAAUAUUUUAUUAGUAUGGUCUAAGAAGCUUUUAAGUGAUAUCAUAGUUUAAUUUAUUAGUUUUUUUUUGUUAAUUUUUAGAGGUUUUUGUAUUUAAGAUUUUUUUCCAUAUUAAGCUUCUAUUUCUUUCACAGAAUUGAUAUAUAUAUAUAUAUAUAUAUAUAUAUAUAUAUAUAUAUAUAUCAUAAAAAUUACCAUCAAAUCAGUUUUACUUAUUUAUUAUUUUGUUUUAACGAAAAUACACUUUUUAAAUAAUUUAAUUUAAAAUAAAAUUAUAUAUUAAUUUGCUGUAUUUUAACAAUUUCAUUGAUUUAAUUAAUUUGCUUUGGUGGAUAACUUAAAAAGUUUUCAUAUGAAUCGGGGAAAGCAAGUUUAUGUUGUUAUAUUAUAUUUAUUUUGUGUAUAUAGAAUCUAUAUAUAAUGCUAGUGUAAUAAAGAAAGAACAUUAUUUUUUUGUAACUUCAAAAAGAUACAUUAUUACAAUUUGAAAUGAAUCAAAAUUGAAUAAAAUGGUAAUUAAAUAUUUGUAAAUCUAAUUGUUUAGUUGAAUUCUCAUGAAAAAAAAAUCGAUUGGUUAAACAAAUGUUUCAAAAUUUGUUGUAGUAUUGUUUUGUCUAUAAAUUAUAAAAUUUAUUGAAUUAAUAUAUUUAAUUAUUGCAUCCUUAAAUAAUAUUUUAUUUUUUUUUUUUUUUUUUGUCAUCAAUUUUACAGACUCAUAUUGACUCUGUGAACCAAACUGGGAGAUCUUGAUCCAUGUGAACUACAAAAGACGUUUCCUUCCUAGCACUGCGGGCUAAGCUAUCCGCCUUCUUGUUCUGCGUUCUUGGUACAUAGAUAAUCUCUACUCGGAAAAAACUCUCUUUCAGGCUGUUUAUAUCUUCCAAAUAACUUGCAAAUGCUGGCCAUUCUUCUGGUUCUGAAAUAAUAUUUUAUUAAGACAUUAGAAAAAUAUGUUUUGAGUUGUUUUGUCAAAAUUGUACAAAAAUCUAUGCUUUUUCAUAUUUGUAACUUCAAAAAGAUACAUUAUGACAAUUUGAAAUUAAUCAAAAUUGAAUAAAAUGGUAAUCAAAUAUUUGUAAAUCUAGUUAUUUUUUUUAUCUUGUUUAGUUGGAUUCUCAUGAAAAAAAAUUGAUAGGUUAAACAAAUGUUUCAAAAUUUGUUGUCUUAUUGUUUUGUCUAUAAAUUACAAAAUUUAUUGAAUUAAUAUAUUUAAUUAUUGCACCCUUAAAUAAUAUUUUAUUAAGACAUUAGAGAAGUAUGUUUUGAGUUGUUUUGUCAAAAUUUUACAAAAAUCUAUGCUUUUUCAUAUUUGUCACGAAAAUUUAUAUGUUAAACUUACUUUUACAAAAUUCUUAACUUUGUUACGAAAACAAAAAUCUAUGCUUUUUCAUAUUUGUCAACGUUCUCACACUUUCUAAGAAUAUAUUAGCUUAGUCACUUACUUAUUUUUUUUUUACAAAACAAAGUAUCGGAGUCUUGAAAGUUGAAUUAAUAUUAUUGUAAAUGUACAUAAGAGUUUGUGAUUAUAUACUUAGUGGUUCUUGUAUAUGUGUCCAAUAAAGUUUCAAUGGCUUAGUGGUAACUGUCAUUUAUAUAUAUCAUACUAACCCGGGUUCGAUUCUCACCUUUGCAUUGUUUUUUUAUUUUUUACGAAAAAUAAAUGAGAUGACAUGGCAAUUUCGGGCUCUCUGAUUGGUUGAUUUUUCUAUCCUAUGUGGACACCUUCUCCAUGGCUUAUAUUGCCCUUUUAGUAUAGUAUAGAUAUUUAUAUUAUUUAAUCUUAUAUCUAUUAGUAUGCUAUCUUCACCUUAUAUUAUCAUCUAAUAGUAACUAUUUAAUUUUUAUAGAAUCAGUAAUGACUAUGUAAUUAAAACAUAUGAUAAAUAUAGUCAAAGUAUCCAAAUAAAAUUUAAAAUAAAAUGUUUAUAUUAUAUUCACUAAAUACAAAAUAACAUAUUUUCAGGACUUUCGGUUUAUAUUAUAAACUAUAUUUAGAAUAGAAAUAUGUUUUAUAAAUAAAAUAACUAUAAAUAUGUUUAUAUUUUAAAAUUUUGUAUUUGAAUAAAAUAAAGAAAUUGAAUUUACCAAUAAAUGUUUUUAAAAAAAAAUGGAAACGAUAGAAACUCACGAUUCUGAUUAAAAAAAUGCAAAAAUGACUAUUUGUCAUUUGAUGUUAGUGAUUACUUGUUUAAUUUCAUUUUUGUAUACUCCGAUAACUAUUUCUUGACUUAUAUUUUAAUAUUACCUUUUGAUAUUUGUUGUAGUAUAGAAAAACUCUUCUAUUAUAACAUAGAUUUUUGUUAGAUUUUUGUCAUUUUAUAUUCCACGUGAAUCCUAUGUUAUAUCGAAACGGAAGCGGGUACGUGGAAGCGGGUACGUGGAAGCGGAAGCGUAUGGAAGCGCCGAAGCGAGAUUUUAUAAAAAAUUACAAAGCGGAUACGUGUUUGAAGCGUAUAUCAAUAUAUGCAUAUAUAUAUAUAUAUAUAAGAAAAAGUUUUAAAAAAAUUUAGGACUAAAAAUUAAAUGAUUUAAAUUUAAAAUAAUACGUAUAUUUAUUUAUAAUAAUUUUGAAAUGAUUUCAUAUUAAAACUGUGAAAAUACACAUAAAUUAAGUUUAAAAGAAAUUAAUAUAUUAAUUAUUUUUAAUACUUCAUAAAUAAUUAAAAAAAAAUAUUUGAAUAUAUGCUAUAUCUUUCAUAAAACCUCAAUGCAUAAAGAUAACUUAUGUUAUUAGUUUUAAUAUUUGAGUUUUGAGUUGAAUUAACUUAAGAAUUUUGAGUACUCUUCCCAAUCAUGGAGUCCAUAAUAUGUUCCUGAAGAAGAAAAAGAUUAUGAGAAAAGAAAUACAAGAAGUGGAAGAGAAAAGAAUAGAAAUGGAUGGAGCUGUUUCGAGUUAAAGCAUUGAUGAUGCUAAGGAGGUUGAAAUUGAAUUAUGGAAUGUAGAGAACCAUCUGAAGGAUUAAAUCCUUAGAUAGAGAAAUGGUUUCAGAUCUGGUGACUGGAAUUUGAAUGUCAUGAGGGAGAGUAUAUGGUGAUUGCAAAGCCAAUAAAUAAGACUUUCGAAUGACUUUCGAGUCUUGAAAAAAUUAACGAACCGUCUGUCGCAUGGAAUGAAACCCACGGACUGAGUGAAUUGGCGUGGAAGGUCCAUUAACCAUGGGCAGUCAGGACGUUACAAGUUCAUUGAUGAUCAUAGUCAUUGUCUUCACAAUUUUGCUUCUCUUGGUCGCUUUUCAAGCAGUACAUGCAGACUAUUACGGUCCAAGGCCACCAGUUACCUACCCCCUACGUCCCUAAGCCAUGGAUGAUGGAUCCCACUUCUGGGAUCCAAGCCUGUUUAUCGGCCUCUUACUACUUCGAGACUGCUGGCUAACUCCAUUGCAAAACUGUUCUUUUACCCACAUAACGCUCUUCGAUCUAGAUUAGGUAUUUAUUAUUUGUGAACAUUGUUAAUCCUAGUUGUUGGCCGGCCUUAAGAUUUUGGGGACUGAAAAAAAUUUAGUAAAAAAAUUGAUAAUUUUUAAUAAUAAAUUAGAAAUUUAUACCUAUAUAAUUUUCUUCAAAAAUAUUAGGGAUCCUAGACCAAUGUUUCAUUUGACUAUACCCAUGAUCAGCCCUGGUCAGCUGAGACCAGGUUGGAGUCCUCCUAGUUCGUUUAUGGUUGGAUACUGUAAAUACCUUGAAUGAGGUAUUUCGGUUUCCAGUGUUAUUCUUGGGGUUACUUUUACUUUUACAUAUAGUGUAUAUAUGACUUUACCAAUAUUUCUCCUAUAUAUUGUAUGAUGUUAUUCUUUAGCAGAAAAAGAUAAUGUUAAUGUUAUUGAUUUUGCUGAAAAACUUAUUUGCUAUUAGGUUUGUCUCCACUGGUUUAGGAUGGUAAGCUAGGGAGCUACGCGACAUGGUGGGCGAACCAGAGGCGUUAGAACUGCUUGUUGACCCAUUCAACUGGCCCAUAUGGUAAGAACAUGUUCUAGGAAGUGGCUCGAGCUGGGCACCAGGAUUUGCGGUGCAUUCAUGGAUCGUUGAAGGCAGCUCCUACAACUUCAACACCAACUCGUGUGAUGGAAGUGAAAUGUGUGGUCACUACACUCAGAUAGUGUGGCGUGACACCAAAAAGCUCGAGUGCGCAAGUGUAGUCUGUGAGAACGGUGCUGGAGUUUUCAUCACUUGUAACUACGACCCUCCGGGUAACUACGUUGGCCGAGAAACCUUACUAAGGGAAAGUCUAUAAACGGUUAUUCUUUUGGUACUUGAUUUCAUUAAAUUGCUUCACGUUUUCUGUUUCAAUAUAUAUAUAUAUAUAUAUCUGUGAAAUCAAAAUUUCCGAGAUAUCUAAUUUGUAGGGAUCAUUGUUUUUUGUUGUUGAUGAUGUUUCUAAUGUCCUAAUGGUAAUGUUCUCAACUUUUGUUGGUUGGCCUUAUUAUGUAACCAUCUUUAAUGAUUGUGUAAGUAGGGAUCUAUAUAUAUAAAGAAAUGUUCGUCUCUCUCCCGUGAAGCCACGUCAUCAAUUCGUGCGUUCUGGGAGUGACACGUGUCCCAUUUUUAUAUUUAGGGCCAAAAUAAAUGAAUGCAGUUAAGGGUAAUUGAACCCAACACCUCUAGCACUGGUAAUUUUCUUAGAACCACUACGCUAAAGUCACUUUUAAAAAUAUGUGACCGCAAAAAUAUUUAUUAUCGUGUCAGCUGGAAGCCCAUGUUUCUUCUGCUUGUGGCCAGGGCCGACACUGAACUGACGUCAAGAUGAAGAUCGUGAAGUUAAAAACUUUGCUCCAAACAGUUUUGCAAUGUUUCCAACCUUUAUAACUUGAUGCAUAUAAUAAAUAUCAAAAUACAUUUGUUAUACACGCUUUUAUUAGUUUUGCUUUUAAAAGAAAGUAUUUACAGUUAUAAAUGUUUUGUGCCAGUGAAGUAAUGGUUGAAAAAUCUCUAUACAUAUGUCAUUUUAAAAUAACACUCAACUUCUAUAUAUAGUCAAUACAUAUGUCCAUGUUAUAUUCUAGACUAAAUAUUUUAGGGGUGUUCAAUCCGGAUAUCGGUUCGGUUUCGGUUCGGUUAUUUUUGGUUUUCGGUAUUUCGGUUAGUAAAAUAUAACUACCAUUCUAAAUCCAUAUUUACUUCGGUUCGGUUCGGUUUAUAUACCGUCGGUUUUCGGUUUAUUCGGUUUUAUACCAAAAAACAUAAUUAUUUUGUUUGAGAUCAUAUUAUAUGAAUUUUAGUCAUAUUGUCAAUACAGUCAUUUAUUAAAAAUAUAUUACAUGUUCAAAUAAAUGAACAAAAAAGUAAAAAUGCUUCUACCAUCAAAUAAAAUAAUCAAAUCUAUAACUAAAAUCAAAGCUUGAAAUUUUAAAAAUAAAAAUAUGAAACAAAACAGAAACAUGAAAGAAAAGUUUUUUCAUUCUUCCAUAUUUAGUGUUCAUUAAAGUCAUGCUUUUUCAAUUGAAAAUUUUUCAUCAAAUUUAUAAUCUUCAUAUUAAUUUAGUGAAGACUAAAAUAAAUCAAAAAGAUCGAAAAAGACUUAAAAAAUAAGAUGUUUGAAUUGCGAUGUAUUGUUAUUUAGUUAUAGUUCAAGUGUUUUACAAAUUAAAGUUUUUUAUUACUAUAAAAUUAUGGUAAUAGUUAUUAACACAAAUUUAACUUAUAUAACAAAUAGAUUUUCAUGUAUUGUUAUAAAAUAGAUACAUAUUUACAUGUUUCUACUUUUAAUCGGUUUUUGUUCGGUUUAUUCGGUUUAAUCGGUUAUAUACCAAACCAUAUCCAAAUCCUACGGUUUUUAUAAAAUUAUAUCCAUUCGGUUUAUAUGGUAUAUACCAAAACCAAACCAUAUUGUCUAUUUCGAUUCGGUUCGGUUCGGUACGGUUCGGUUUUACCAUAUUGAACACCCCUAAAAUAUUUUCUCUUUUAAAAAUAUAGAAUACAAUUUUUUAGUCUACAAGCAAAUGUUGUAGAGCAAGUAUGCAUUAUACAAAAUAAUAUAUAUUUAAAAUUCAUACACAAAAACAUAAAAGUUGUUAUAGGCCUCUUUUUGACACAUGCACACUCCACUAUGAAUAAGAAUUAAAAAAAAACAUUAUUGUCAUCAAACUUUAUCACAAAUCCACAUUUGUACAUCUAUAAUUAUGAGUUGGACAAUUAGUUAAUUUGAUACAAUAUCAAAGUAAGAAUAAUCGAAAAAUAACUAUACCACCGCAUAUUAAUAAGUAAGACAUAACAGAUAACCAAAUUUUUGAAUCUUAAAACAAAUUUUAACUCGAGCAUUUAGUGAAUAUCAAAUUAACUAAUAUCCCGCCUGUAGGGCGGGCCGACCCUAGUAUAUAUAAAUAAAACGUUUCCAUGUUUACAAAUUACAAGGAUAAAACUGCAUAGUUAAACUGAAGACGAUGGAAAAUCAGACUCUUGACUCUAUAUAAAAAUCUCGUGCUCUUGUGUGCCCAUCUGAAAGUUCAUGUGCAAAGGAAAGAAAGCAAAGACCCAACAAGAGAUGCGCGUGGUCACACAACACUGAAAGCACGUGAGGAGAACUUGUCUGCAGUGUUUGGUAAGCAACCAAAACAGUGAAAACAGAGUACACUCGUGUGCGUACGGGAAAUAAAGUUGUAAUGAUUAGAGUCCAUAUGUCACAGUUGUGAGUGGAAGAUUCGCAACUGUGCCACCGCAAUCACAAUAUGAGUAACUGGGUUUUGUGAUUGGCCUACAUAUUAUUAUACUCGAGUUAUUUAUUUAUUUAUUUUUCUUAGAAACAAAAUACAUCAUUUUACACCCUGAAUGAGAACCCCUUUUCUUUUUGGAAAGGGAACCCUCUAGGAUCACCACAAGACAUGAAUUACUUUUUCAAUCCAACCUCUACUGUCUUCAUGUCACUGCAACUUGAAUCAGUAAAAUAUGCUUUAUUUGCUUCGUAUAUUCAUCAUCUGUGUCACAUCACUUUUCUUGACAAUCUAUGGCUCUUAGCUUACUUCGGCUGUAAGUAAGCUAGAUAAACUCUGGCAAAACUGUGAAGUGGAAAAGGAGCCAUUUCAUAUCAUAAGAUGACUCUAUAAACGUAUUAAAAAAAAAAUUGUUGAAUGGGUCUAGUAACUUCUGAUCAGUUUACCUCCAUGUAUAGUCUUAACUCCCCUGCGGAUUUUGAUAUUUCUAUUACACAAUUGGUUGGAGUCACCUCGAUCACCUCUGCUGAUAAUAAGUCAUAAGAAGAUCUUGAUCUUAUCUCUUUUGGCUGAAUCUUAACCUGGUUAUUAAACAACAACAAAAGAUGCAUAUACGAGAUAUUCAGCUAAACUUGAGAUCUAUAGAAGAAUGUGCAGUAAACUAACUUAUAUAUAUAUAUACAUAUAUAUAUAGUGUACCUUGAAGUGCUUUAUUCUUUCAACCGAUAAACUAACAUCAAUUGCAGCAGCUUCAAUCUUCUUGAUUGUUUCUUGUGCUGUGUUCUUGGACCCAAUUCUUGUUUUAUAUCUCUUAUCAUCCUAAAGAGAUAACAAUAAGGAACAUUUUCAAGGGUUAGUAUCUUUUUGUUAAAUGAGUUUAAAGAUUUGACCAGAAAAGUUAUACGUCUUUUACUUGUUCUUCGAAGAGACCUGACAAAUCUAGAUCACUAGACAUUGCUAUUAUCUGAAACGCGUUUAUGAAAUUUGAAGACGCGGUUGCUGCAUUUAUCUCCGCUACAUUCUCUUUGACUGAGUCUGAAACUUGAUGAUAAGCUGGUGUAUAACCUAACUUGAACCAAGAAUCUUGGAUGAUUAUCUCAGCUAGUGUUAUACGCUGCAUCCAAAUAUUCACAAACAUUGUUACUCAUUUUUGGAUUAUCGUUGGCUAAUAUAAUAGAGUUAUGGAGAUUAUCUCUUGUUAUAUACCGUUUGAGGAUUUGGGUCAAGAAUGUUAAAGAUUAGCCUCUUUUGCUCUCCAGUGAAACCAGGUGGGAACGUGUAAUCUGCUCUGAGUAUCUUCUUAUACAAGAUAGGAAGAGUAUGAUCAUCGAACGGUGGAUAACCAGCAAGCAACUCAAACAGAAUCACUCCACAAGACCACACAUCCACUGCUGCUCCUGAGUACCCUUUGUUCAUAAUAAGCUGUUUUCAUUAACAAAAAUCAGCUUUUACACAUUCAUUGAUUAUGAAACGUCAUGUCAAUUAAUUAUUAUUAUCAUAAAUAGUUUUACCUCAGGUGCUAUAUAGCAUGGAGAUCCACAAGCUGUAGAGAGCAUAUCCCCUGACUGAAAUAAAUAACCAAAAACUUAUUUAGAACUUGAUUGUUUCAAAGACACUUAACUGGUUUAACAAAUAGAAAAUGAUAUGAUCAGAAUUAGGAAGUGUUACUUUAGGAACUGCACUUAGUCCAAAGUCAGAGACUUUGAGAUUACCCUUUGAAUCUAUUAGCAAGUUUUGUGGCUGCAAAAUCAAAGUAUCCACAAAGUUAAUAAGUAAAACAGAGAGAUUGCAAAAAAAAAAAACAUAAAGGUUAUACAUCUUCUCUUACCUUAAGAUCUCUGUGGUAAACUCCUCUGUUAUGACAGUAGUCAACGGCAUCAAUCAAUUGUUGGAAAAGCUUUCUUGCAUCUGAUUCUUUCAUCCUAUGUCUUUCAAGUUUGUCUGAAAGCUGACCACCUGCCACGUACUCCAUCACAAUACAGAUCUUUGUCUUGGUCCCGAUCACCUCGUGUAUCUGUACGAUGUUGGGAUGGUUAAGAAGCUUCAUAGUCCUUAUCUCUCUCUUGACUUGAGACUCUAGACCCUUUUGGAUAACCAGAGACUUGUCUAUGAUUUUGACAGCUACGUAGGUACCAUUGGUCGUGUCGUAACCAAGUUUCACUUUUGCGAAGUUCCCUUCUCCGAUCGUCCUUCCUAUCUCGUACUUGCCGAUCUUCUUGGUCCCAAACAAACCCAUCUCAGAGAUAGAGAGAAAGAAUAAGAAGACGAAGAUGUUUAUGAGCUUCGAAGGGUCGUAUUUAUGUAUGAAAAGGGAACUUGAAACCAAACUAAUGAGGGCUGUAAGAAGAGUUGGAUUCUCUUGGUAGAUCAAAAAUUUGACUUUUAGAUUAUAGAUAGCGACAGUUUUUUUAAAAAGUAAUCAAAGAUAUAUUAUUGGUGUGUUGUAUUUGACCGCUUGGCUCGUGAGUGAGUGAAUCAUAGCUCGUGAUUCUCGUGGUGAGAAUGGGUCAUCAUGCUCUACGAGCCGAUAAUAAACAAUGCUUUUUGUGUGGAUAUAUAUCUUCAUAGAGUUCACAAGCUGGUAGCUAGGUGGAUUCGAUUGUCAUUACUGAAUUUUAUUUUAUUCCCCUCUCCCCCACACCUUUAAAUUUAGAAAAUUUAAAAAUAUAUGUCUCACAAUUGGUGGGAUGAUAUCUGAUUUUCGAUGAUUUCCUUUGAUUUUCUAUCUUCAUUAAAUUCUCAUCGUUAGCCAAAAAAAUGUAUUUCAAGUGUUUUAAUCUUUUAGUACGUUUUAAAAUAGAAAUACAUCCUAUUGACGCCAGUUUUAAAAAAGUUUUUGUCGGCUAUUUCAUUUUGUGAGGAUAUUUGUCCACAGGUUAAUUACAUUGUUUUUAUUGAUUCUAGAAAAGAAAACAUUUUAAACUGAAACGUACAUAAGAUCUGAACAUCAGGAUAUUUUCUUAGAUGGUCUAAAAAUGUUGAUUUGUUUUCAUGCGUUAAUGCAAAAUGUUAGCCAUUAUUAGGCCAAAAAUUUAUUUCCACUAUUAUGCGAUAAUUUUGAAGUUAUGAGAUCGAUAUGUUUAUACUUUAUAUGUCGCUGGAUUCCGACCCGGAGGUGGGACGAAUGUGUUUCCGCGUUUUCUUGUUUAUCAUCAUCCCAUACGGAAAGCACCGACGAAGUCUGUUGUUACGUAUAAUUAUUUGUUAGUUGAUUGAAAGCUUACGUUGUGGCCGGUUUUAGCUCGUGAACUACGUUUAUUAUUUAAUUAUACAAAGUCUGAUUUUCAUCGUCGUGCUGUCAGUAUGUGAUGAUAAUGCUCUAAAGAGUUGGAUUCUCUUGCGGAAUCAAAUGUUUGACCUUUAGAUGAUAAUGGCUGUUAUCAAGUAUUCAAAGAUAUUAUUGGUUUUAUUUGACAGAUUGGCUCCACGGGUUCGUGACUGGUAGCUCGUGAUUAAAAUGUAUCAUCAUGUUUUAAGAGAUUUUUUUGUAUUAG
This 44194-nucleotide long non-coding RNA is filed under the name Brassica rapa (field mustard). RNAcentral describes it as "long non-coding RNA (BRAP_LNC007838)". Lineage: Eukaryota; Viridiplantae; Streptophyta; Magnoliopsida; Brassicales; Brassicaceae. The record is from RNAcentral.